This 1337-nucleotide long non-coding RNA is filed under the name Nicotiana tabacum (common tobacco). Its description in RNAcentral is "long non-coding RNA (NTAB_LNC012447)". The record is from RNAcentral. Lineage: Eukaryota; Viridiplantae; Streptophyta; Magnoliopsida; Solanales; Solanaceae.
AUCCCUCGACCGAAGAGCUUACUUCCGUUACAACUUCCAUCAGCAAUCCACCCCUCUCUCUCUCUCUCUCUCUCUCUCUCUCUCACACACACACACACACACACAUUGUGUUCCAUCCUUCUUUCAUACCCACAUUCAGUUUUCCUUGUACAUUUUGUAAGCAAACUUCCUGUUCAAUUUCUUCUACUACUUUGUUCUCCUGACUGAUGUAAAAACAGGCUGCUCAAAUACUCACUUUCUUCCCUUAUUGAACUGCCUAUUCUUGAAGGUAUCAAAUUCUAAGUAAUGUAAGAGUGAAAAGCUACUUUCUUUGAUAGAUUAACAUGCCCAUUUUAUCUCUGUUGUCAUAAUCAUUCUUGUCAAGUUCUGAUAAUGGGUUCUCGCUAAGUCUCUGAUUCUUUGCUUUCUUGUUAUACCCAUUUGGUUAAACUUGUUUUAAAGCACUAAGAAUCACUUGUCUAAAAAUGGUGUCUCGCUAAAUUCUUGAUUCUUGGUACUACUUUGUCCUCUCUGCUCUUUUUUGCUCAGAUAUAUAAACAGCUUUGUCAGAUACUAAAGUUCUGACAUGUAACUGAAAAUUAGAUCCUUGUCCCACUUUUUUCUUGUUAAGUUCAAUUUUUAGUGUCAGCUAGUUAUUCUAUAUAUGUGAGGAAGAGAUUUGGUGUAAUGGAUCUAAAGCAUUUUGGAGUCAACCGUUAAUUGAGAUCUCAGUAAAUGGAGUACUGCUGUUUCUUUCGUUAAAGACUUGAUUUUUAUACCACUUAUGGCUUUACUCCGUUAAUCUUUUUGACUUGUGGUCCUAUGAAAUUCAAAUAGGCAGAGAUUUUUUGGAAGUCUUAGAUACAUCCUAGACAUAUAUUAUUCAUUGCUAACUGAUUCUUUUGUUCUUCCUAACUUGUAAUCUCCAAGAAUCAUUCUUUGUAAAUCUGUUAAUAUGUAGAGUUAGUUAAUUAGCAGCUAAUUUUAUGGACCUUAAUGAAGGUCAGUAUACAGUUAAUAGAAAUGAAUCAGCCAAUUUUCCUUUUUAUCCUAAAUACUCUAGUCAUGAUCAAGUAGGUGUUGUCCUUCCUGCCCAAAGUUUUGUUUCUUUGCCUAUGCAAGUUUAGUUGAAUUUCAUAUUGGCCUCUCGAGUCCUUUCAAUUCUGUGCUAGUUUGUUGUCCUUCAAGUUUUUUUUGUUCCGUCAAACGAAAAAAAAAAAAAAAAUUCUACCCUUCAUUUUGGACAAAUUUCGAGUGAUCAUGGAAGAAACAUUUGUUCCCCUCCGUGGAAUCAAGAAUGAUCUCAAAGGAAGAUUGUUAUGCUACAAGCAAGAUUGGACCGGUGGUCUCCGUGCUGG